AGUGAACGCUGGCGGUAGGCCUAACACAUGCAAGUCGAACGGCAGCACAGUAAGAGCUUGCUCUUACGGGUGGCGAGUGGCGGACGGGUGAGGAGUACAUCGGAAUCUACUUUUUCGUGGGGGAUAACGUAGGGAAACUUACGCUAAUACCGCAUACGACCUACGGGUGAAAGCAGGGGAUCUUCGGACCUUGCGCGAUUGAAUGAGCAGAUGUCGGAUUAGCUAGUUGGCGGGGUAAAGGCCCACCAAGGCGACGAUCCGUAGCUGGUCUGAGAGGAUGAUCAGCCACACUGGAACUGAGACACGGUCCAGACUCCUACGGGAGGCAGCAGUGGGGAAUAUUGGACAAUGGGCGCAAGCCUGAUCCAGCCAUACCGCGUGGGUGAAGAAGGCCUUCGGGUUGUAAAGCCCUUUUGUUGGGAAAGAAAAGCAGCAGGUUAAUACCCCGCUGUUCUGACGGUACCCAAAGAAUAAGCACCGGCUAACUUCGUG
This 492-nucleotide ribosomal RNA is filed under the name uncultured bacterium. Its description in RNAcentral is "partial 16S ribosomal RNA". It matches the Rfam family "Bacterial small subunit ribosomal RNA", at positions 29 to 507 of the family's 1533-position model. The record is from RNAcentral.